AUUGAACGCUGGCGGCAUGCUUUACACAUGCAAGUCGAACGGCAGCGCGGGGGCAACCCUGGCGGCGAGUGGCGAACGGGUGAGUAAUGCAUCGGAACGUAUCCUGUAAUGGGGGAUAACGUAGCGAAAGUUACGCUAAUACCGCAUACGCUCGAGAGAGGAAAGUGGGGGAUCGCAAGACCUCACGUUAUAGGAGCGGCCGAUGUCCGAUUAACUAGUUGGUGGGGUAAAGGCCUACCAAGGCGACGAUCGGUAGCUGGUCUGAGAGGAUGAUCAGCCACACUGGGACUGAGACACGGCCCAGACUCCUACGGGAGGCAGCAGUGGGGAAUUUUGGACAAUGGGCGAAAGCCUGAUCCAGCCAUGCCGCGUGCGGGAAGAAGGCC
This 386-nucleotide ribosomal RNA is filed under the name uncultured bacterium. RNAcentral describes it as "bacterial SSU rRNA". It matches the Rfam family "Bacterial small subunit ribosomal RNA", at positions 29 to 416 of the family's 1533-position model. The record is from RNAcentral.